This 492-nucleotide ribosomal RNA is filed under the name uncultured bacterium. Its description in RNAcentral is "bacterial SSU rRNA". It matches the Rfam family "Bacterial small subunit ribosomal RNA", at positions 30 to 512 of the family's 1533-position model. The record is from RNAcentral.
AUUGAACGCUGGCGGCAGGCCUAACACAUGCAAGUCGAGCGGUAGAGAGAAGCUUGCUUCUCUUGAGAGCGGCGGACGGGUGAGUAAUACCUAGGAAUCUGCCUGAUAGUGGGGGGAUAACGUUCGGAAACGGACGCUAAUACCGCAUACGUCCUACGGGAGAAAGCAGGGGACCUUCGGGCCUUGCGCUAUAAGAUGAGCCUAGGUCGGAUUAGCUAGUUGGUGAGGUAAUGGCUCACCAAGGCUACGAUCCGUAACUGGUCUGAGAGGAUGAUCAGUCACACUGGAACUGAGACACGGUCCAGACUCCUACGGGAGGCAGCAGUGGGGAAUAUUGGACAAUGGGCGAAAGCCUGAUCCAGCCAUGCCGCGUGUGUGAAGAAGGUCUUCGGAUUGUAAAGCACUUUAAGUUGGGAGGAAGGGGCAUUAACCUAAUACGUUAGUAGUCUUGACGUUACCGACAGAAUAAGCACCGGCUAACUCUGUGCCAGC